This 1372-nucleotide ribosomal RNA is filed under the name uncultured bacterium. Its description in RNAcentral is "bacterial SSU rRNA". It matches the Rfam family "Bacterial small subunit ribosomal RNA", at positions 28 to 1381 of the family's 1533-position model. The record is from RNAcentral.
GAUGAACGCUGGCGGCGUGCCUAAUACAUGCAAGUCGAGCGAACGGACGAGAAGCUUGCUUCUCUGAUGUUAGCGGCGGACGGGUGAGUAACACGUGGAUAACCUACCUAUAAGACUGGGAUAACUUCGGGAAACCGGAGCUAAUACCGGAUAAUAUUUUGAACCGCAUGGUUCAAAAGUGAAAGACGGUCUUGCUGUCACUUAUAGAUGGAUCCGCGCUGCAUUAGCUAGUUGGUAAGGUAACGGCUUACCAAGGCAACGAUGCAUAGCCGACCUGAGAGGGUGAUCGGCCACACUGGAACUGAGACACGGUCCAGACUCCUACGGGAGGCAGCAGUAGGGAAUCUUCCGCAAUGGGCGAAAGCCUGACGGAGCAACGCCGCGUGAGUGAUGAAGGUCUUCGGAUCGUAAAACUCUGUUAUUAGGGAAGAACAUAUGUGUAAGUAACUGUGCACAUCUUGACGGUACCUAAUCAGAAAGCCACGGCUAACUACGUGCCAGCAGCCGCGGUAAUACGUAGGUGGCAAGCGUUAUCCGGAAUUAUUGGGCGUAAAGCGCGCGUAGGCGGUUUUUUGAGUCUGAUGUGAAAGCCCACGGCUCAACCGUGGAGGGUCAUUGGGAACUGGAAAACUUGAGUGCAGAAGAGGAAAGUGGAAUUCCAUGUGUAGCGGUGAAAUGCGCAGAGAUAUGGAGGAACACCAGUGGCGAAGGCGACUUUCUGGUCUGUAACUGACGCUGAUGUGCGAAAGCGUGGGGAUCAAACAGGAUUAGAUACCCUGGUAGUCCACGCCGUAAACGAUGAGUGCUAAGUGUUAGGGGGUUUCCGCCCCUUAGUGCUGCAGCUAACGCAUUAAGCACUCCGCCUGGGGAGUACGACCGCAAGGUUGAAACUCAAAGGAAUUGACGGGGACCCGCACAAGCGGUGGAGCAUGUGGUUUAAUUCGAAGCAACGCGAAGAACCUUACCAAAUCUUGACAUCCUUUGACAACUCUAGAGAUAGAGCCUUCCCCCUCGGGGGACAAAGUGACAGGUGGUGCAUGGUUGUCGUCAGCUCGUGUCGUGAGAUGUUGGGUUAAGUCCCGCAACGAGCGCAACCCUUAAGCUUAGUUGCCAUCAUUAAGUUGGGCACUCUAAGUUGACUGCCGGUGACAAACCGGAGGAAGGUGGGGAUGACGUCAAAUCAUCAUGCCCCUUAUGAUUUGGGCUACACACGUGCUACAAUGGACAAUACAAAGGGCAGCGAAACCGCGAGGUCAAGCAAAUCCCAUAAAGUUGUUCUCAGUUCGGAUUGUAGUCUGCAACUCGACUACAUGAAGCUGGAAUCGCUAGUAAUCGUAGAUCAGCAUGCUACGGUGAAUACGUUCCCGGGUCU